RNAcentral lists this ribosomal RNA (342 nucleotides) under uncultured Bacillota bacterium. Its description in RNAcentral is "bacterial SSU rRNA". It matches the Rfam family "Bacterial small subunit ribosomal RNA", at positions 28 to 351 of the family's 1533-position model. Lineage: Bacteria; Bacillati; Bacillota. The record is from RNAcentral.
GAUGAACGCUGGCGGCGUGCUUAACACAUGCAAGUCGAACGGAGCAAAUUUAUUAGACUUCUUCGGAAUGAAGAUUUAUAAGCUUAGUGGCGGACGGGUGAGUAACGCGUGGGUAACCUACCUUAUACUGGGGGAUAACAGUUAGAAAUGACUGCUAAUACCGCAUAAGCGCACGGCAUCACAUGAUGCAGUGUGAAAAACUCCGGUGGUAUAAGAUGGACCCGCGUCUGAUUAGCUAGUUGGUAAGGUAAUGGCUUACCAAGGCGACGAUCAGUAGCCGGCUUGAGAGAGUGAACGGCCACAUUGGGACUGAGACACGGCCCAAACUCCUACGGGAGGCAG